UUCCGGUUGAUCCUGCCGGACCCGACUGCUAUCAGAGUGAGAUUAAGCCAUGCGAGUUAACGUAGCAAUACGUGGCGCACGGCUCAGUAACACGUAGUCAACAUGCCCAGAGGACGUGGAUAACCUCGGGAAACUGAGUCUAAACCGCGAUAAGUGAGGAUUUCUGGAAUGGUUCCUGACUAAAAUCUAUAUGGCCUCUGGAUUGGACUGCGGCCGAUCAGGCUGUUGGUGAGGUAAUGGCCCACCAAACCUGUAACCGGUACGGGCUCUGAGAGGAGGAGCCCGGGGAUGGGCACUGAGACAAGGGCCCAGGCCCUAUGGAGCGCAGCAGGCGCGAAACCUCUGCAAUAGGCGAAAGCCUGACAGGGUUACUCUGAGUGGCUUUCGCUAAGAAAGUCUUUUGGCACCUCUAAAAAGGGUGCAGAAUGAGGGGUGGGCAAGUCUGGUGUCAGCCGCCGCGGUAAUACCAGCACCCCGAGUGGUCGGGACAAUUAUUGGACCUAAAGCAUCCGUAGCCGGUUCUGCAAGUCCCCCGUUAAAUCCAGCUGCUCAACAGAUGGGCCGCGGAGGAUACUACAGAGCUAGGAGGCAGGAGAGGCAAGCGGUACUCAGUGGGUAGGG
RNAcentral lists this ribosomal RNA (621 nucleotides) under uncultured archaeon. Its description in RNAcentral is "bacterial SSU rRNA". It matches the Rfam family "Archaeal small subunit ribosomal RNA", at positions 1 to 631 of the family's 1478-position model. The record is from RNAcentral.